UACAGAGGUCUCAAGCGUUGUUCGGAUUCAUUGGGCGUAAAGGGGGCGUAGGCGGCGCGGUAAGUCGGGUGUGAAAUCUCGGAGCUUAACUCCGAAACUGCAUUCGAUACUGCCGUGCUUGAGGACUGGAGAGGAGACUGGAAUUUACGGUGUAGCGGUGAAAUGCGUAGAUAUCGAGAGGAACACCUGCGGCGAAGGCGGGUAGCUGGGCCGACACUGACGCUGAGGCGCGAAAGCCAGGGGAGCGAACGGG
Molecule: ribosomal RNA, 253 nt
Filed under: uncultured bacterium
Lineage: Bacteria
Description: partial 16S ribosomal RNA
Rfam family: Bacterial small subunit ribosomal RNA
Source: RNAcentral